UUUGGUUGUGGCUCGUGUAUCACGUCACUGCCAUACGUGCGCCGAGACAUAUUUUACCGGGCGUUUGACAGAUGUUACUUUUUCGUGCCAGACAGUAUGUUAUGCGUCAUUAAUUACCAUUUGUCGAAUUUUUCAAAUUGGCGUUUCUGUGAUGUGCGGUGCGUUUAACCCAAGGCAGAAAGGGAGCUCGAAACAAUAAAUAAUCGAGAACUAGCUCAACAUUAGUAGAGUUAUACUGCUUCCCACUUCUGUGGAGAUAGAAUGGGCUUUACUAUAUGAAUGGAAUAAAAGUAUCUCCUCUCACACAAUAUCGUCGAACUCCAAAUCUUGGUUUCUAUUAAGUAAAUUAAUACUUGGAGG
Molecule: long non-coding RNA, 360 nt
Organism: Cylas formicarius (sweet potato weevil)
Lineage: Eukaryota; Metazoa; Arthropoda; Insecta; Coleoptera; Brentidae
Exons: 2
Source: RefSeq, a predicted model, not a curated record